Molecule: ribosomal RNA, 233 nt
Filed under: uncultured bacterium
Lineage: Bacteria
Description: partial 16S ribosomal RNA
Rfam family: Bacterial small subunit ribosomal RNA
Source: RNAcentral
GAUCAUGGCUCAGGAUGAACGCUGGCGGCGCGCCUAACACAUGCAAGUCGAACGGACGAUGAAAAGCUUGCUUUUCAAAGUUAGUGGCGGACGGGUGAGUAACGCGUGGGUAACCUGCCUCAUACAGGGGAAUAGGCAGCUGGAAACGGCUGAUAAAACCGCAUAAGCGCACAGUGCCGCAUGGUACAGUGUGAAAAACUCCGGUGGUAUGAGAUGGACCCGCAUCUGAUUAG